RNAcentral lists this ribosomal RNA (573 nucleotides) under uncultured bacterium. Its description in RNAcentral is "bacterial SSU rRNA". It matches the Rfam family "Bacterial small subunit ribosomal RNA", at positions 338 to 916 of the family's 1533-position model. The record is from RNAcentral.
CCUACGGGAGGCAGCAGUAAGGAAUAUUGCGCAAUGGACGAAAGUCUGACGCAGCGACGCCGCGUGGGGGAUGAAGGUCUUCGGAUUGUAAACCCCUUUCGGGAGGGAAGAUGGAGUGGGUAACCACUUGGACGGUACCUCCAGAAGCAGCCACGGCUAACUUCGUGCCAGCAGCCGCGGUAAUACGAAGGUGGCAAGCGUUGUUCGGAUUCACUGGGCGUACAGGGAGCGUAGGCGGUUGGGUAAGCCCUCCGUGAAAUCUCCGGGCCUAACCCGGAAAGUGCAGAGGGGACUGCUCAGCUAGAGGAUGGGAGAGGAGCGCGGAAUUCCCGGUGUAGCGGUGAAAUGCGUAGAGAUCGGGAGGAAGGCCGGUGGCGAAGGCGGCGCUCUGGAACAUUUCUGACGCUGAGGCUCGAAAGCGUGGGGAGCAAACAGGAUUAGAUACCCUGGUAGUCCACGCCUUAAACUAUGGAUACUAAGUGUCGGCGGUUUACCGCCGGUGCCGCAGCUAACGCAAUAAGUAUCCCGCCUGGGAAGUACGGCCGCAAGGUUGAAACUUAAAGGAAUUGACGG